Molecule: ribosomal RNA, 584 nt
Filed under: Bacillus cereus
Lineage: Bacteria; Bacillati; Bacillota; Bacilli; Caryophanales; Bacillaceae
Description: bacterial SSU rRNA
Rfam family: Bacterial small subunit ribosomal RNA
Source: RNAcentral
UAUUUUGAACUGCAUGGUUCGAAAUUGAAAGGCGGCUUCGGCUGUCACUUAUGGAUGGACCCGCGUCGCAUUAGCUAGUUGGUGAGGUAACGGCUCACCAAGGCAACGAUGCGUAGCCGACCUGAGAGGGUGAUCGGCCACACUGGGACUGAGACACGGCCCAGACUCCUACGGGAGGCAGCAGUAGGGAAUCUUCCGCAAUGGACGAAAGUCUGACGGAGCAACGCCGCGUGAGUGAUGAAGGCUUUCGGGUCGUAAAACUCUGUUGUUAGGGAAGAACAAGUGCUAGUUGAAUAAGCUGGCACCUUGACGGUACCUAACCAGAAAGCCACGGCUAACUACGUGCCAGCAGCCGCGGUAAUACGUAGGUGGCAAGCGUUAUCCGGAAUUAUUGGGCGUAAAGCGCGCGCAGGUGGUUUCUUAAGUCUGAUGUGAAAGCCCACGGCUCAACCGUGGAGGGUCAUUGGAAACUGGGAGACUUGAGUGCAGAAGAGGAAAGUGGAAUUCCAUGUGUAGCGGUGAAAUGCGUAGAGAUAUGGAGGAACACCAGUGGCGAUGCGACUUUCUGGUCUGUAACUGACACU